Molecule: long non-coding RNA, 207 nt
Filed under: Mytilus galloprovincialis (Mediterranean mussel)
Lineage: Eukaryota; Metazoa; Mollusca; Bivalvia; Mytilida; Mytilidae
Source: RNAcentral
GGUUUGCGCAUUGUUGAAGGCUGUAUGGUGACAUACCGUUGUUAAUGUCUGUCUGUGUCAUUUUGGUCUCUUGUGGAGAGUAGUCUCAUUGGCAAUCAUACCACAUCUUCUUUUUUCAUAAUCAUUGAAAGCUAUGUUUGUUAUACUCAUUAUUGUCUUGUCUCUGAAAUUGUAUCAUUCCUAUUUCUAUUUUCCAUCUGUUUUUCU